RNAcentral lists this ribosomal RNA (498 nucleotides) under uncultured bacterium. Its description in RNAcentral is "bacterial SSU rRNA". It matches the Rfam family "Bacterial small subunit ribosomal RNA", at positions 28 to 531 of the family's 1533-position model. The record is from RNAcentral.
GACGAACGCUGGCGGCGUGCUUAACACAUGCAAGUCGAACGGACGAGUGAGAUAAGUUUACUUAACUCACAAGUUAGUGGCGGACGGGUGAGUAACACGUGGAUAAUCUACCUGCAACACCGGGAUAACGCUGUGAAAACGGUGCUAAUACCGGAUACGUUCCCUUGUGCGCAUGUAUGAGGGAAGAAAGCUCAGGCGGUUGCAGAUGAGUCCGCGGCUGAUUAGCUAGUUGGUGAGGUAAAGGCUCACCAAGGCGAUGAUCAGUAGCCGGCCUGAGAGGGUGAACGGCCACACUGGGACUGAGACACGGCCCAGACUCCUACGGGAGGCAGCAGUGGGGAAUCUUCCGCAAUGGGCGCAAGCCUGACGGAGCAACGCCGCGUGGGUGAAGAAGGCCUUCGGGUUGUAAAGCCCUGUCUUAUGGGAAGAAGUCAGUGACGGUACCAUAGGAGGAAGCCACGGCUAACUACGUGCCAGCAGCCGCGGUAAGAGUAGUAC